Erinaceus europaeus (western European hedgehog) is the source of this 6717-nucleotide long non-coding RNA. RefSeq lists it as uncharacterized. Lineage: Eukaryota; Metazoa; Chordata; Mammalia; Eulipotyphla; Erinaceidae. The record is from RefSeq and is a predicted model, not a curated record. The transcript is spliced from 2 exons.
CCAUGUGUGCAGAUGAACAGCAAACUCAAGUGUGUUUACAUGUGUAUCAGAAUUAAUGAAAUGGUUUGUUCUCAGCACAUUUCAGGAUUUGUUAUAGUUUUCUUCUUUUUUUACAUCAUAAUUUGAGACAGAAAUCCUUUAUGACAGAAAUCUUAUGCAGCACUUGUAUGGCUUUUGGCAAGACCAAGGAGCUCAAUAACUUAGAGACAUACAUUAAAUAGUAAUUAUGAUCCAGUAUUCAACUGCAAACUUGUAGUCAGUACACAAAGAGGAAGAAGUGGGGAAAAAGAAAUCUGUGCGUCUCGCAUUGGAACCUAAGGGCAGAGGUGGGAGAGAGCUAUAACUGGACAUCUGAAGACACUGAGUGAUUGGUGACUGUGAUGGCAGGCAGGCACAAUUGGGAAACACGCCAUGCCAUGCCUUUCUAGUGCCAAACACCUUCCAACCACAACACUGACAGAGAAGUCCCAAACAGUGGAGCAAGAAUGGUGUGAGUCCCACAAAGCAGGUGCAAAAACGAACAAUCAAGUUUUCUGCUGUGUACAGACUUUCCCCCUCCCUAAUCCAAGGUCAAAGUGAUGAGUUUUGAAAGGCUUUGGGGACACUUUUUAAAACAUCUUGGAACUUGUCAAGCUUUACUGGAGGUGAUUUGCAUUAAUUAAUUCAACAGACCCUUUAAUCUCACAAAUCUUUGACUUGUAAUAUGGUAGCCAAGCUACUGCAAGGGGCAAUUAAGCAGUUAGUAGAAAGGAGUACUCGUUCAGUGUUGUGCCCAGGCCAGAAGAAAGAGACCUCUAUGAAGUAGAGCAUUGAUGAAAUUGUACUACCUUCUUCCUCCUCAUUCAUGUUGUGGAAAGCCAUCUGCUUCAUUUGGUUUUGCCAGUAUGCACUGCUUUAAAAAAAGUGGGGAAAGGGAGGUCUGUGGAUUCUUGAGGGGUUGCAUAGCUCAGAGUAUGGGUAUCUGGUCAUGGAAACUCACUUUAAAUGGAUACGAUCUAAUUGUGUUUGGAAAUGGAAAAAAAAAGUCAUUGUCACUUGUUUAAUUACUGAUCUGACAGAGUACAGUGACUGCUAUUAACUUUAUUUUGUGAGAGUAUAUUAUCAACAUCGUAAUAAGUUGUUUUGUAAAAAUUGAAUUUACAAUUCAAUUUCACAAGUAUAACCUGCAUUAUUCAGCUACUGAAUAAUUUGAUCCCUGCAUUCUUUGGUGGUUUCAUUGAUGCGUUCAAACUAAGAUAACAUUUAUAUGUGCAAUUAACUGUCCUGUUACUCCUCAGACUCCGGAAAAUGUUGGUUUCAAGUUCUAGAAGCACCACUUUUAUGUUCUUAAUCCCUAAAUAUUCACUCCAAAGUAAAUAAGUGGCCUCAUUAUUCUUCCUGGCUUCUUUGUUUUGAAAGAAAGAUUUGAGCUGCAAGGUUAGAAUGAAAUGUAGUUCGCUAUACUUAAAUACACAAUGUCAGAGUUUGCAAGUAUAUCUACAACCACAUGUUCUUGUAAAGUUUCCCGUCUAGGGUUUUGACAUAACAGUCUUAGUCAACCCGAGGUGAAUGAGUAAAAGUAACCAGAUGUACUCAAUAAACAGUCUAACAGGAAAAGAAGAAGAAACAGGGAAUGCUAUUCCUGUAUCAAAAGAUAUUUUCUCCUUAGUGGUCAUCUUGGUGAUUCUCUCCCAGGUGUAGUAAGAACUACUGAGUGAUAGUGAUCAUGCUCUUGUCAUAAACACUGUAAUUUAAUGGUUAAAAGAAUACCCUACCACCAUGCAACUUAUUUUCUAUGGCAAGGCAAGGAGAAAGAACCAGGUGGAAGGAAUUCCAAAGUCAGAACAGACACAAAGAUUCACCGUUAUGUAUGAGUCAGUUGACUAUAAGGACAAAAGUGCAAUAAACAGUCCUCUGAAAAAGGCUCAGGGGUGAGAGUCCAAGUGAGAGAAUUAUAAGUGUAGUGAGUGAAGAGGAAAACUACCAGUGUCUGCUCAGAAAUGUUUGCUUUGUUACAGAACAGAGGUUUCCAGGUAGCUCCUGCAUUCCUUAGCCAUAAUAAUAAGAGAUCUACUUUCAAAAAAUCAUGUAGUGAGACAAAGUAGGAAAAAAGAGAUGUCAGUGACUUGAUGGCUCAGUCAGUACUUAAGAAAACAUGCCACUUGUGAUUCUGUUUCUUGGUCAUUGGCCCCUAUGCUGCUAUCUAACCUUCAUACUAAGAGCUUCUGAUGGAUUAUAAAUGAGUUGUUUUUAAGGUAUUUUAAAUAUUCCUUCUUGAAGAACAUGUUCCUUUGAACUUCUCUCAUUUUGAUAGCAAUGAGAUUCAGGGUUACCAUGGCCUUACUCAUAAUCCCAUUGUAAAUAAAUCAUGACAUCACAAAAGCCUCUGUGUUCAGAUUCACUGAACAGGUUUAAGCUUAAUCUUUUAAAUGCAACUUUAAUCUUUUAAAUCUAGAUCCCACCAGUCACUUGGUCUAUGUAUCUAUCCCUUAAUUGGAGAAAAACAGUUGUUGUUCAAAUGAUUUGCUGACAAAUGGAAAUAAAAAGUAAUGGACUACAUUUUUCAAUACACACACACACACACACACACACACACUACUGUGACACAGACAGCCCUAAAGUUUAAAUUUUUCCUCAUGACUAAGUUUCUUCUCAUUCAGGGGCAUUUAACAUCUGAAUUUUCCAAAUGAUUUGCUGAACCAUCUUCACUAAAUGGACACUAAAGAAGUUACCGAGAAGUAAUGAUUAUCCACAUGGAUGUGUAUAUCCCCCCCAAAAGGUAAAGGAGUAGAUUUGAUCUUUGUGAUGUCAAACAUCAGGAUAUCUGGGAAAGCCCACAUGUUUGAAUCAUAGAGUUUUUCCUGUUGUCUGGACUGUCCAGAGAGACAGAAAAUGCUCAGGUGUAGGUAAUGCAGUUUAAUUUUCAUUUGUAGUACUCGAUUAGUGAUGAUAUUUUGCUGUCAGAAAUCUCCUUGUUGUGCAAAGAGAGACAGAGAAAAUACUAUUUAAAUUUUGUUUACUUUGAGGAAACAUAUGAAUGGAAGGGCAUUGGGAAAACUGCUCUGUGUGUACUCAGAUUUGAUUGCAAUGCAGACCUUGAGAGGGUCAGUUCUGUUGGUCAGCCACUUGGUGAUUCCCAAGCAAGAAAACAUUUUAUUCAGAACUUUUCCAUCUCUGAUAAUUUUAUAACUUCCUAUCAACCCUUUACAAAACCUUAGUAAUUCCCAUGGUCAAUUUGAUUUAAUUUUUCAAAAUAAAUACAAGUGUUUGAUAGUUUUUUGCUUAAGUGCAAAGUUUUGAUUUUUAAGACCUAAAUCAUUUAAGUAUAUAAUUUGAUCUGCUUGGUGGGAUUAUUUUAUGAUUGAAUUUUAUGAUAUCCAUAGAUGGAAAAGCUACUUUUCUCAAAUUAAACUAUAUGUUUGGUUUGUUAAUGUUAUUCUGAUUGCUAAGGUCUAACUGGUUGUGACAUACUGGAAUAUUUGUGUUUUCUUUGCAAUCAUAGGAAAAAAAAAAAAGGAAAGGAUAGCCUUAAAUGGAAAUUCACUUUCCAACAUUUGUAUUUAUGACUAUUUGUCUACAUUUUUUCUUAUGUCUUCUGGUUUGGCUCCAGAUUGGUGAAAGAGUGUCGUUUUUCUCAUUGUGUGUUUACCUCAUUUACUGUUCUGAUGCCGGGCAGAAAAAUAGACAAACUCUUCAGACCAAUGUUCUUUUUCAAGUGCUCUUGUGUUGCAUAACUUGUUGGAGGCACUGGCCAUAAACAGACUCACAGGGCACUGGAAAAUAAGUCAGCUAUGCAAAGACUAUUUAAUCUAACUGGUUUGUAGCAUCUUGGCUUAUGUUCUGGUUAUGUCAAAUUCUACAUUUAGUGCCAAAUCCAAGGAUAGAAAGCUCCCUUCCUUUCUGAGUCUUUCUCUUCAGAUGCUAAAGUUUCCCCUAAAUUAAAUGAAUACCCCACCUUGAAUAACAAGACACUGUUGUCAUUGGUCUGUGCCAAUUGUCAUCCAUGAUGGCUCCUUUGGAGGCCAGAUCUUGUUUGCUUGCUCAUACACCUGCUAAAGUCUCCAAGAACAUAAAGCAAGUCCUUCCAGACACUGAUGUUCAUACCCAUUCAUUUUAGCUUCACUUUUCUUCUUCCUGAGAUUUUUCACUUCACCAGAUCUCUUUACUCUCAUGAUAUUAACAGAAUAUUUGGGUUUAUUGACAACCAAGAGGCAACCAAUUAGCAAAAAUCAUUAGAUAUUUUUCAAUUAUCUUUUUUUUUACUUGACAAUUGAAUGAAAAUUACACUUUAGUAGAAAACCUCCCUGUGUUGAGUAUAAGGACUAUUUUAAAUAUGCUUAACUAUACUCAGUGAAACAAUAUCUUUCUACAUUAUGAAUUGCAUUCCUUUCUGGAGACAAGGAUGUGAAGGUGGGGUCUAGUGAUGGGAACACAGGGUCUGAUCAUCUGGAACCCCUCAGAGUCCUCAUUAUUGAUGGCCACAUCAGUCUCAGAAAUUCACUCUCAGCCUCAUCUUCCCACAUUUAAAAGAGAUAAUACUUAUAUACCUACCUCAUAGUGGUAUUGUGAAGGUUACUUAGACUCUGUAAGUGCUUUGACACUUGACAACUAGUAUUAGCACAAAGGAGAACCAUGUGUGGCCCAGAAGUCAGCUGUCAUUGAGGAUAGAGAUGCCUCAGUAGCACAACAGCAAUAACUCACCAAGCAAAGAAUAUGAUUUUUCUUGGUCACCUAACAAAAGGGAAAUUUUCUCCUUCAAAGGUCGAAAUUUUCUCCUUCAAAGGUCUAUGUAGAGCUUUUUAAUUCUCGCUUUUUAAUAGGAAGAUUCCUUUCAUACAAAUGUUGAGAAGCUUCAUAUAGAUGACAACUUCCUCAUAGUCAAACUGAAUUCUACUAUUUAUCAGCUGUAUCCUAAAACAGGGCUUCUUCUGAUGCCUAAGAAAUUUGCAUGCCUGGUUCCAAAUUACAUAUUCCAGAGUGCAUGCAUGACACUCAAGUCACUACUAACAACUGCCAAUGGGGUGUUCUUAAAUCUACUACUAAAAUAGGAAAGAUUCAAUAGGCAUUACCUGGAUCAUAUUAUUAAAUAUUUAAUUUAUUUAGUUUUAUUUUAAUGCGAAGAUAAAUAUAUACAGAGAGAAAGACACCCAAAGCAAGACCAGAACACUGGCUGGUGGUCAUGCGGCUGAAUCUGGAAUAUUAGAGCUUCAGGUGUAAAAUUCUUUUUCAUAAUCAUUGUGCUGUCUUCACAGACCACUGGAAUCAUAUUUUGUGUUAUUCACAAUGAAAUAUUUUUCACCCCUAAAAGGAUACACCUCUCCUGUUACUACCUAGUCAAUGAAUGCAAUGCCUUAUUUCUGCCUGAAAUUCCUUCGUUUUUCAGAAGAUAAAUAUAUUUUAAAUAUUCCAGAAAAGUAUUUGCAAAAGGACUUCUUCUACACAUUUACACACACAUAUAUACUAGGCACUGCUAAAGGACCAAGGAAAUAAUGGGAAAGCAAUCUAUGUGAUUUUCCCUAGAAGUAGCAAAUUUUCUCUUACCAGAAUAUCAAGCCCCUAUAAUAACUAGCCCUAAAUAACAUGAUUUAAUUUUUACAUAUUUACCCUAUUCUAACCAUGGAGACAAUAUAAGAGUACACCAGUGAAACUAUACUAAUGAAGUAGAUAAUGUUAUCAUGAGGUGAUUUAAUGAGGCAAAGCUGCAUAUAUAAAUAUUGUCAUUGUGCCCUUAUUUAAUAAUUACAUUGCUAAAGAAAAAAAAUCCAUUCAUUUAAAAAUGUGAAAAAGGGUUUCAGAAAGUUUAUCUUGUUAAAUGAGUUUAAAACCAUAUGACACCUGGUACUGAUGUGAUGUACACAGUCAGCAUAGCCUCUCCCAGUUUCUAAUAUUCAAUAUAGCAGUGGCGUAUCAAAAUCUGAAUAUUUCAAAUUUGGUAAAAAUUUCUAAUAAAAAGUAUUAAACUUUCAGAAGCAUUAAUUUAUCAUGGGAAAACAUCUGAUCCAUUUAAUAGAUGUACGUUACCACAUCAGAUUUAAGAUGAUAAGUAUUUGUAUAAGUUCUCUAUAGAGUACUGUAUGUGAGUCAAAAUAGCUUGGACUUCCCUGACUUUUUCUCCCAGCACCUAGUAUCAGAACUUUUCCAACCAAAAGUACAGCAGAAUAUUCACGUUGUGAUAAAGGGAAAUAGUCACAUAGCCCUUUGGUUUUUGCACAAGAAAACUGUGGCUGACUAGACUCAAUGUAGGGGAUCAAGAAGAGUGAAGCCAGUUUUCAGUUGAGUUAGUUAAACUCAGAGGAGGGUGAUGGGAAGAAGAUGUCAUUGAGAGAUUUUACCUGUUAGUUAGAAAACUAAAUCUAAAAGUGUUGAAACAAGAGAAGACUUUGCACUGUUAGAAUACAUAUCCUUUACCAAAUAUAAAAACAAGUGGAGAAAACAUUGUGUUAUAUUGUAAACUAUGUGUCCAGUUACUGAGGAAGAGAAGUUUUGAAACAUUCAUGUGCUUUAUUAUUUCUAAAAACUUUUCAGUUCAUGUGAAACUCUCUAAAAUCCUCCACAGAAAUGAGUCUAUUAAAAAAAGAAAAAACUAGUUUAUAGCAAAGACAUUGUGAUUACCCUGCUAUGGACCAAUCAUGUAAUCAUCAUAUGGGACACUGUGUAAAUCUAAUUGUUCACUUUCACAGCUACUUCCAAUUAACAUUCUAUUUCAUAAACAAAUGGUGAAAGAAAGAAAGGAAGGAA